GGUAAAGAAUUUUUAUAUCUUAAUUCAGCAUAGUCAACAAAACAUAUAUAGUAAAAUUCAAAUAUACAAGGUAAUGUACAAGAAAAAUUAUAUUAUUAUUUAAGGAAAUGUACAAAAUUUGAAUAAUAUUUAUAUGCAAAUAUACAAUAAGUCGUCAACAAAGGAAAAAUAUAACAAACAAGAAUGAUUUUAAUAUCUUGAUAGGAACACAUAAAUCUACUGUUAUUUUUUUAUCGUCUACAUAAUCUAUUAAUGAACAAAAUACCAAAAUAUAAUUGGUCAAAAACACCUAUUUUGCUAAUGUUUGUAUAUAUAAACUCCACCCUAAGCAAAUGUAAAUAACACUUAAAAAUGUGUUGCUUCUAAAAUGUUUUUUUUUCUGGAUUUACCUUCAUUAGGAACAUUCUAAACAAAAAUAAUAAUGAAUGCUCUUUAGAUUUUUUACAAAAGCUAUGGUUUUGAUGUAACAUAUCCAAUUGAAAUUUUUAGAGAAUUAAUUUAUAUUCAGGUUUCACAUGUAUAUAAUCAGUCAUCACAAAUUGAAAGCAAAGGUUUUCAUUUAAAAUAUACACCAAAGGCUGCCCAUUUUACGUGCUUUAAAUCAAAACAUCAAUUUACUUUAGUAGUAGUUGCAUAGUAUGUGACAGGCAUUAUCUACAUGGUUAGCUCAGCCAAUUUUCAUAUUAUAUAUGGUACACAUUAAUGUAUCUAUAUUCAUAGAAUGGAAUCAUGACAUGAAAACUUAAGGAGGUUCACGGGUACAAAAAUUUCAUUGCAUCAAAGAUGUUUACUCUAUUAAGUGAUAAACGUAGUCUUUAUCUUUUUUUUCAAACAUUUUGAUAGACUGACAAACUCAUUCUUUGUUUUAUAUUUGGAACCCAACCCCCUAGCCAUUUUUUUUUUAUAAAAAUCAAUUUUACUGCACACUUACAGAGGUUAACAUUUUCAUUUAUAAGGAUUUUUAUCUUUAUCUAGAAUUAAAGGAAAAGACCUUUAUAAGUUAGAGAAAAUUUUCCACUGAACAAUAUUUGGAAGUUAACCUUCAAAGUCUAUGAUUUGAAGCAUAUAGAUAACAAAAUUAUAUUAACUACACAGAUGAAUAACAAAAUAAUAUGAUAAUGAUGAUAAAAUAAGUACUUUUAACUAAUGCAACCUAUGUAGUAUAAACUACUAACAAUAUUGUUUUUUAGACAAACAUGAUAAAUGAUGCAUUUUAAUGUUAGAAAAAUAAGAUUUCAACAAAAAUAUUCCUUUAAAAAAAGAGAGAGUAUGGAAUGUCAAAAUUAAUAUCUGGAAUUCAUUGCAAUGUAAUUUAAUAUUCUAUGGGGUCAAACUGUUUAAAAACAUAUUAUUCUAUAGGUAGAAAUACUAUUAGAGUAAACUAAUAAAAAUCUAUUUUUUUCUUUUUAAAAUAAUUCAAAAACUGGCUUGGGACAAGUUAAUAAGUUUAUUCUUGCAAUUCAAAUGUCAAAUUUCUGUCCUUUUUUUUUUUUGGUAUUUAAAAUUUUAGUCAGCUUUCAAACUGAUGCAGCAUACAGAAAAUAUACUAGUCUUGUAAGGAUACUUCCAAUAAUUAUCUUAGUUUCAUAGUGACAUACAUGUAUAAUACUUUUUUAUGCUGUAGUGGUAAUAAACUAAUAAGCUGUUUUGAGUAUUCAAUUCCUUUUAACCUUGGAAGCUCUUUAGUCUAUCUUAUAAACGUUUACACAGAUGAAGAACAACAAUAAAACUCAUCCUCUGUCAAUAUAAAGUUAUUUCUUGUGAUAUAGUCAUGAGCAAACCAACUAAAAGUUACAUUAUAUACUUUAGUUUUGCUUGUUGUUGACCUCCUAAAUAUAAGAGUUAAUUAUUUAUUUUGAACCACAACCAUAAAGUCCUAUUAGAAUAUAUAACGUAUUUCAAACCUAUGACAUUCAUAUAUGUAUAUAUAUUAUUUCUCUACUGCUGUUAAAACUUAAUUGAGGUUAAAUAAAGUAAACAAAUUUAAACAUGUCACAUUCUAACUCCUUACAGAACGCACCAUAUAUGCCUACUUUGUAUGUACAGCAAGAAUAAUACAGUUGUAUAUAUGUAAGUUUAGAGUUUCAUUGGUUUAACUCUAGGAACACUAGCACAUUUGUGUGAACAUAUCACAUACUGAAACAGAAGCAGCAAUCUUAUUAUCACUACAAGUGUCAUAUUUGGGUAAGGUAUAUGAGAAAAUUUGGUUUAUACACCUUCAAUAAAUAAGUGAGUCAAAACCUUCUAGCAGUACAUGUAAGUAGAGCAAUAAGGAUGGAUACCGAAGUAUGCUGCAGUUGUCUUAUGCACCUUUAAUAUGAAUUAUCAUACAUAUGUACCAGUAUAUUCUAUUUUGUUAUGGUUUUUCUAAAAAAAAAAAAGACAUUAUCUUAUCCAAAUUAUUCAUAUAAAUUUUACGAUACAUUUAUAACAUUGUCUAAUAAUUUUCACUAUCAAAAAAUAAAAUCAUAUUCAUGUAUAUAUCUUGUGUCAAUAAUCUUAUAAACAUAACAAAUCAUUUACAAAAAGGUAUUAUUAUAAAACAAUUUAAAUGCAAAAGUGGCACUGAUAACUUUAAGCUUUACAAAAUAACAACCUUCAUAAGCACACAUUUUAGGAGAGAAAAUAUACAGCCCAGAAUUUUACAACUAUAUAGCACAAACCAGCUGAAAUUCAUGAGGUUUUUUGUUAUUUUUUUAUGUGUAAAACAUUUUCUGAAAAAAUAAUAUUCUUCUAAAAACUCAGAAACUUUCAAUCAAAGAUAAAAAAAAAAAAAAGGUGCAAACGCAUCAUAUAUUACAGAGGAUAAAGAUAUAUAUAAGUCAAUGAGACAGCAACCUUUUAAUAUCAUCAAUCCAAAACGAGACCCCUACACUAUUUUACUUGAUAUUUUACAACCCUUUUGCCUAACAGUAAACACUGGAAUUCAACUAUAACAUUGUGGUCAAUAAAAUAUAUUUAAUAUCUAAUAAAUAAUUGACCCCUUAUUGUGUGUUUUUUUUUAUAUUUAACAAGGCCAGGAGUCAAUUUCACAAAAAAAAACUUAUGACUAAGAUUGGUUGUAAGUCAUGAACAAUUUAUUCUCUUAGUCAUAAGUUUUUUUGUGAAAUCGACUACUGGCCUUUAGAAAGCUACCAAAUUGUAAUUUUUGAAUUAUUUCAUCCUUCCUUAACCCCAAUUUGAUCCACUUUGGAUUUUAAAAUUACUCAUAAAUUCCCCAAAAAAUAUUAAAGUAGCUGCAUGACAUAACAUAAUGGUAUUCAUCACCAAUGUGUAUUGAGUCGCAGAAGAACUACUACAAUACAAUAGUAACUGCUCAGGUAAUUUAUACAGAGUAUUUGAACAUUGAAUGACUUGUGAUUUCAAAAUUCCUUUUUUAUUUUGCCCAACUGAACUUUGUUUAAGAUAACAUUUAUUCAAAGGGCCUGUAAAAU
Molecule: long non-coding RNA, 3434 nt
Filed under: Mytilus galloprovincialis (Mediterranean mussel)
Lineage: Eukaryota; Metazoa; Mollusca; Bivalvia; Mytilida; Mytilidae
Source: RNAcentral